GUGCUAGCUUCGGCAGCACAUAUACCAAAAUUGGAACAUUACAGAGAAGAUUAGCAUGGCCCCUGCUUAAGGAUGACACGCUAUCAUCGUGGAGCGGUACCAUAUUUU
Molecule: small nuclear RNA, 108 nt
Filed under: Leptobrachium leishanense (Leishan spiny toad)
Lineage: Eukaryota; Metazoa; Chordata; Amphibia; Anura; Megophryidae
Source: RNAcentral